GGCCUUGUAGCUCAGUGGAUAGAGCAUGACUUUCCUAAGGUCGGGGUCGCAGGUUCGAUCCCUGCCUAGGUCG
Non-coding RNA from Chlamydomonas reinhardtii, 73 nucleotides. The record is from Rfam. Lineage: Eukaryota; Viridiplantae; Chlorophyta; Chlorophyceae; Chlamydomonadales; Chlamydomonadaceae.